This 27-nucleotide non-coding RNA is filed under the name Rattus norvegicus (Norway rat). The record is from RNAcentral. Lineage: Eukaryota; Metazoa; Chordata; Mammalia; Rodentia; Muridae.
CUGUAAAAGCCUUUCAGCAGCCAGAAA